GGAGCUGCGAAGCCUGCCGCUCCCGACCUCGCCGCGCCACCGCGCCGCUCGCCUCAGUCCAGCACCCGGUGCCUUCGCCGCCCAUCUCCGCUCACCGGACGCCGCGACCGCGAGCCCGACGCCGCCACACCAGCUGCCCGAGGCCUCCUGCCGUCCCUGUAGCACCCCACCGUUCGAAGCCCGCGACCUGACGACCUGCGGUCCGCGAUCCGCGCUCCAGCUCUGUCGCCCCUCCUCUACCCGCGAAGCUGCAGCCGCUGCUAAGCCGAGA
RNAcentral lists this long non-coding RNA (271 nucleotides) under Eucalyptus grandis. RNAcentral's name for it is "long non-coding RNA (EGRA_LNC007082)". The record is from RNAcentral. Lineage: Eukaryota; Viridiplantae; Streptophyta; Magnoliopsida; Myrtales; Myrtaceae.